RNAcentral lists this transfer RNA (72 nucleotides) under Terpios hoshinota. Its description in RNAcentral is "tRNA-Asp". It matches the Rfam family "tRNA". From Rfam's summary of the family: Transfer RNA (tRNA) molecules are approximately 80 nucleotides in length. The record is from RNAcentral. Lineage: Eukaryota; Metazoa; Porifera; Demospongiae; Suberitida.
AGGGUUAGAGUUUGUGAGGUAAAAUUCCCGGUUGUCAUCUGGGCGUAAUGGGUUCGACUCCCAUUGACCCCG